CGAACGGAAGUCGUGUAAUGAUGUUACAUGAACAGAGAACUGUCAAGGGAAUGAAAUUGACUACAACAAUGGCUUAGUGGCGGACUGGUGAGUAACACGUAAGCAAUCUACCUACAAGAGGGGGAACAACAGUGAGAAAUCACUGCUAAUACCGCAUAAGCUAACGCCUUCGCAUGAAGAAGUUAGAAAAGGAGUAAUCCGCUUGUAGAUGAGCUUGCGACUGAUUAGCUAGUUGGUGUGGUAACGGCAUACCAAGGCGACGAUCAGUAGCUGUGCUGAGAGGCAGAACAGCCACAUUGGGACUGAGAUACGGCCCAGACUCCUACGGGAGGCAGCAGUCGGGAAUAUUGCACAAUGGAGGAAACUCUGAUGCAGUGACGCCGCGUAUAGGAAGAAGGUUUUCGGAUUGUAAACUAUUGUAGACAGGGAGGAGUAAGGACAGUACCUGAAAAGUAAGCCCCGGCUAACUAUGUGCCAGCCGCCGC
RNAcentral lists this ribosomal RNA (485 nucleotides) under uncultured bacterium. RNAcentral's name for it is "bacterial SSU rRNA". It matches the Rfam family "Bacterial small subunit ribosomal RNA", at positions 63 to 518 of the family's 1533-position model. The record is from RNAcentral.